GGCUGAACCCAAUGGAUGUCUCUAUGUGGGGCGUUGGGGGGACACUGCGAUGGGUCUGACCCCAAAAUCGGUGGGGUUGGGGUUGGAGGGGGAUUGGAGACCCCAAAGGUGGGGGUGGGGUGGGCUGGGAGCCAAAAAGUGACCCCAUGUUGGGCGCAGAUGAGGGUUGGGGGCACCACGAUGCGUCUGCAGGGGGGCUGAACCCUAUGGAUGUCUCUGUGUGGGGUGGUGGGGGGAUACCACGAUGGGUCUGACCCCAAAAUCAGUGGGGUUGGGGUUGGAGGGGGGGUUGGAGACCCCAAAGGUGGGGGUUGGGGGGGGGGUGGGAGCCGAACAGUGACCCCACGUUGGAUGGGGAUCGUUGAGAUGAGGGUUGGGGGCACCACGAUAAGUCUGCAGGGGGGGCUGACCCCUAUGGAUGUCUCUAUGUGGGGUUUUGGGGGGAUAUCAUGGUGGGUCCGACCCCCAAAAUCAGUGGGGUUGGAGUAGGAGGGGGUCCAGAAGACCCCAAAGGUGGGGGUGGGACCCAAAAAUGACCCCAUGUUGGGCGCAGAUGAGGGUUGGGGGCACCACGAUGCGUCUGCAGGGGGGCUGAACCCUAUGGAUGUCUCUGUGUAGGGUUUUGGGGGGACAACGCAAUGGUCUGACCCCAAAAUCAUUGGGGUUGGGGGGGGGUGGGAGCCAAAAAGUGACCCCAUGUUGGGUGCAGAUGAGGGUUGGGGGCACCACGAUGCGUCUGCAGGGGGGGCUGACCCGGCUGACC
Molecule: long non-coding RNA, 763 nt
Filed under: Gallus gallus (chicken)
Lineage: Eukaryota; Metazoa; Chordata; Aves; Galliformes; Phasianidae
Description: lncRNA (ENSGALG00010000894.1)
Source: RNAcentral